UACGGAGGGUGCGAGCGUUGUCCGGAAUCACUGGGCGUAAAGGGCGCGUAGGCGGCAUGCCAAGCGUGUGGUGAAAGCCCGGGGCUCAACCCCGGGUCGGCCGUGCGGACUGGCGUGCUCGAGCACUGUAGGGGCGGGUGGAAUUCCGGGUGUAGUGGUGGAAUGCGUAGAGAUCCGGAGGAACACCAGCGGCGAAGGCGGCAUCCUGGACUGGUCCUGACACUCAGGAGCGAAAGCGUGGGGAGCGAUCCGG
Molecule: ribosomal RNA, 253 nt
Filed under: uncultured bacterium
Lineage: Bacteria
Description: partial 16S ribosomal RNA
Rfam family: Bacterial small subunit ribosomal RNA
Source: RNAcentral